UUUAUGGAGAGUUUGAUCCUGGCUCAGGAUGAACGCUGGCGGCGUGCCUAAUACAUGCAAGUCGAGCGAACGGACGAGAAGCUUGCUUCUCUGAUGUUAGCGGCGGACGGGUGAGUAACACGUGGAUAACCUACCUAUAAGACUGGGAUAACUUCGGGAAACCGGAGCUAAUACCGGAUAAUAUUUUGAACCGCAUGGUUCAAAAGUGAAAGACGGUCUUGCUGUCACUUAUAGAUGGAUCCGCGCUGCAUUAGCUAGUUGGUAAGGUAACGGCUUACCAAGGCAACGAUGCAUAGCCGACCUGAGAGGGUGAUCGGCCACACUGGAACUGAGACACGGUCCAGACUCCUACGGGAGGCAGCAGUAGGGAAUCUUCCGCAAUGGGCGAAAGCCUGACGGAGCAACGCCGCGUGAGUGAUGAAGGUCUUCGGAUCGUAAAACUCUGUUAUUAGGGAAGAACAUAUGUGUAAGUAACUGUGCACAUCUUGACGGUACCUAAUCAGAAAGCCACGGCUAACUACGUGCCAGCAGCCGCGGUAAUACGUAGGUGGCAAGCGUUAUCCGGAAUUAUUGGGCGUAAAGCGCGCGUAGGCGGUUUUUUAAGUCUGAUGUGAAAGCCCACGGCUCAACCGUGGAGGGACAUUGGAAACUGGAAAACUUGAGUGCAGAAGAGGAAAGUGGAAUUCCAUGUGUAGCGGUGAAAUGCGCAGAGAUAUGGAGGAACACCAGUGGCGAAGGCGACUUUCUGGUCUGUAACUGACGCUGAUGUGCGAAAGCGUGGGGAUCAAACAGGAUUAGAUUACCCUGGUAGUCCACGCCGUAAACGAUGAGUGCUAAGUGUUAGGGGGGUUUCCGCCCCUUAGUGCUGCAGCUAACGCAUUAAGCACUCCGCCUGGGGAGUACGACCGCAAGGUUGAAACUCAAAGGAAUUGACGGG
RNAcentral lists this ribosomal RNA (937 nucleotides) under Staphylococcus aureus. RNAcentral's name for it is "bacterial SSU rRNA". It matches the Rfam family "Bacterial small subunit ribosomal RNA", at positions 1 to 917 of the family's 1533-position model. Lineage: Bacteria; Bacillati; Bacillota; Bacilli; Caryophanales; Staphylococcaceae. The record is from RNAcentral.